UAUGGGUUAGUAAAAUGGGAAAAGGGGGACCUUUUUUUUAAGGUUUUUAAUUGCUCAGAACGAACGCUGGCGGCAGGCUUAACACAUGCAAGUCGAACGCCCCGCAAGGGGAGUGGCAGACGGGUGAGUAACGCGUGGGAACAUACCCUUUCCUGCGGAAUAGCUCCGGGAAACUGGAAUUAAUACCGCAUACGCCCUACGGGGGAAAGAUUUAUCGGGGAAGGAUUGGCCCGCGUUGGAUUAGCUAGUUGGUGGGGUAAAGGCCUACCAAGGCGACGAUCCAUAGCUGGUCUGAGAGGAUGAUCAGCCACAUUGGGACUGAGACACGGCCCAAACUCCUACGGGAGGCAGCAGUGGGGAAUAUUGGACAAUGGGCGCAAGCCUGAUCCAGCCAUGCCGCGUGAGUGAUGAAGGCCUUAGGGUUGUAAAGCUCUUUCACCGGAGAAGAUAAUGACGGUAUCCGGAGAAGAAGCCCCGGCUAACUUCGUGCCAGCAGCCGCGGUAAUACGAAGGGGGCUAGCGUUGUUCGGAAUUACUGGGCGUAAAGCGCACGUAGGCGGAUAUUUAAGUCAGGGGUGAAAUCCCAGAGCUCAACUCUGGAACUGCCUUUGAUACUGGGUAUCUUGAGUAUGGAAGAGGUAAGUGGAAUUCCGAGUGUAGAGGUGAAAUUCGUAGAUAUUCGGAGGAACACCAGUGGCGAAGGCGGCUUACUGGUCCAUUACUGACGCUGAGGUCGAAAAGGAG
Molecule: ribosomal RNA, 744 nt
Filed under: Agrobacterium tumefaciens
Lineage: Bacteria; Pseudomonadati; Pseudomonadota; Alphaproteobacteria; Hyphomicrobiales; Rhizobiaceae
Description: bacterial SSU rRNA
Rfam family: Bacterial small subunit ribosomal RNA
Source: RNAcentral